UCUCCUGGAACGGAGCGUCAUAGAGGGUGAGAAUCCCGUCUUUGACACGGACUACCAGUGCUCUGUGAUGCGCUCUCAAAGAGUCGAGUUGUUUGGGAAUGCAGCUCAAAAUGGGUGGUAAACUCCAUCUAAAGCUAAAUAUUGGCGAGAGACCGAUAGCGAACAAGUACCGUGAGGGAAAGAUGAAAAGCACUUUGGAAAGAGAGUUAAACAGUACGUGAAAUUGCUGAAAGGGAAACGCUUGAAGUCAGUCGCGUUUGUUAGGACUCAGCCUUGCCUCGGCUUGGUGCACUUCCUAGUAGACGGGCCAGCAUCACUUUUGACUGCGGGAAAAAGAUCAGAGGAAUGUGGCACCUUCGGGUGUGUUAUAGCCUCUGGUUGUAUACCGUGGCUGGGAGUGAGGAACUCAGCACGCCUUUAUGGCGGGGCUUCGGCCACCUUCGUGCUUAGGAUGCUGGCGUAAUGGCUUUAAGCGACCCGUCUUGAAACACGGACCAAGGAGUCUAACAUGCCUGCGAGUGUUUGGGUGGAAAACCCGAGCGCAUAAUGAAAGUGAAAGUUGGGACCUCUGUUGUGGAGGGCACCGACGCCCGGACCAGACCUUCUGUGACGGAUCCGCGGUAGAGCAUGUAUGUUGGGACCCGAAAGAUGGUGAACUAUGCCUGAAUAGGGUGAAGCCAGAGGAAACUCUGGUGGAGGCUCGUAGCGAUUCUGACGUGCAAUCGAUCGUC
RNAcentral lists this ribosomal RNA (731 nucleotides) under Phanerochaete granulata. RNAcentral describes it as "partial large subunit ribosomal RNA". It matches the Rfam family "Eukaryotic large subunit ribosomal RNA", at positions 186 to 906 of the family's 3401-position model. Lineage: Eukaryota; Fungi; Basidiomycota; Agaricomycetes; Polyporales; Phanerochaetaceae. The record is from RNAcentral.